GUGGGGAAUAUUGGACAAUGGGCGAAAGCCUGAUCCAGCCAUGCCGCGUGUGUGAAGAAGGUCUUCGGAUUGUAAAGCACUUUAAGUUGGGAGGAAGGGCAGUAAGUUAAUACCUUGCUGUUUUGACGUUACCGACAGAAUAAGCACCGGCUAACUUCGUGCCAGCAGCCGCGGUAAUACGAAGGGUGCAAGCGUUAAUCGGAAUUACUGGGCGUAAAGCGAGCGUAGGUGGUCUUGUAAGUUGGAGGUGAAAUCCCCGGGCUGAACCUGGGAACUGCCGCCAAAACUGCAUGACUAGAGUACGGUAGAGGGUAGUGGAAUUUCCUGUGUAGCGGUGAAAUGCGUAGAUAUAGGAAGGAACACCAGUGGCGAAGGCGACUACCUGGACUGAUACUUACACUGAGGUGCGAAAGCGUAGGGAGCAAACAGGAUUAGAAACCCUUGUAGUCC
This 450-nucleotide ribosomal RNA is filed under the name uncultured bacterium. RNAcentral's name for it is "partial 16S ribosomal RNA". It matches the Rfam family "Bacterial small subunit ribosomal RNA", at positions 354 to 796 of the family's 1533-position model. The record is from RNAcentral.